GCCGCGGUGGUGGAACCGGUAGACACGCAAGACUUAAAAUCUUGUGGCUUAAUAAGCCGUGAGAGUUCGAGUCUCUCCCGCGGCA
RNAcentral lists this transfer RNA (85 nucleotides) under bacterium. RNAcentral's name for it is "tRNA-Leu". It matches the Rfam family "tRNA". From Rfam's summary of the family: Transfer RNA (tRNA) molecules are approximately 80 nucleotides in length. Their secondary structure includes four short double-helical elements and three loops (D, anti-codon, and T loops). The record is from RNAcentral.